Rosa rugosa (rugosa rose) is the source of this 442-nucleotide long non-coding RNA. RefSeq lists it as uncharacterized. NCBI's taxonomy places the organism in Eukaryota, Viridiplantae, Streptophyta, Magnoliopsida, Rosales, Rosaceae. The transcript is spliced from 3 exons. The record is from RefSeq and is a predicted model, not a curated record.
CAACACUGGGGAGCCUCGUAUACAGCGCCUUUAGAUCUUACUGGGCCUUGUAUAUGCUACAGUAACGCCAGUUUUACUUCCAUUCAUAAUUGUUUUCUUUGGCCUGGCUUAUGUUGUGUUCCGUCAUCAGAUCAUAAAUGUUUACAACCAGCAAUAUGAAAGUGCUGCAGCAUACUGGCCUGAUGUCCAUGGUCGCAUUCUGUCUGCAUUGCUUAUCUCUCAGCUGGUUCUAUUGGGAUUGUUGAGUACCAAAAAAGCUGCUCUGUCUACACCAUUUCUUCUUGCACUUCCAGUAUUGACCAUAGCGUUCUAAGUAUUGCCAAGGUCGUUUUGAACCUGCAUUUGUUAGAUAUCCAUUACAGGAAGCAAGGAUGAAAGAUAAUCUGGAACAAGUAAGAGAACCAAACUUGAACUUGAUAGGCUACCUCCAAAGCGCAUAUGU